CUACGGAGGGGGUUAGCGUUGUUCGGAAUUACUGGGCGUAAAGCGCACGUAGGCGGAUUGGAAAGUUGGGGGUGAAAUCCCAGGGCUCAACCCUGGAAUUGCCUCCAAAACUAACAGUCUAGAGAUCGAGAGAGGUGAGUGGAAUUCCAAGUGUAGAGGUGAAAUUCGUAGAUAUUUGGAGGAACACCAGUGGCGAAGGCGGCUCACUGGCUCGAUACUGACGCUGAGGUGCGAAAGCGUGGGGAGCAAACAGGAUUAGAAACCCGAGUAGUCC
Molecule: ribosomal RNA, 274 nt
Filed under: uncultured bacterium
Lineage: Bacteria
Description: partial 16S ribosomal RNA
Rfam family: Bacterial small subunit ribosomal RNA
Source: RNAcentral